UAACUGGUGAGGAAGGAAAAGAGAGGUUUUUGAUUACAUUAGCCAAUGCAUGCGUCUGCUUGAAAAUGCCAAUAGUUCGAAGCUAUGCAGAAGUAAUGGAAAACAAAUCGCGUAAAUUUCUUCAGAGAAUGAGGGUGAGGUGGUUUUUCAUCCCCCCCCAACAGAAUAAGAGCAAACAGCGAUAUUAUGAGAAGUACUCGAGCCCGAAGAAUAAAAGCUGAACAAAAGAAAACAAAUUCUAAUGAAAUGUAUCUAUAGAUGCAGGGAGAGGUAAGAGUGUUUCUGGCAUUAGGUAAAAAAUAAAUAAGAAUACAGACACAGCACAUCCAUUAAAAGAAAGAAAACCCAACUGUUGAAAUGCGUCGCCGAGAGAGA
RNAcentral lists this small RNA (375 nucleotides) under Histoplasma ohiense. RNAcentral's name for it is "hypothetical lncRNA". Lineage: Eukaryota; Fungi; Ascomycota; Eurotiomycetes; Onygenales; Ajellomycetaceae. The record is from RNAcentral.